AUACGGAGGAUCCAAGCGUUAUCCGGAUUUAUUGGGUUUAAAGGGUGCGCAGGCGGCCUUAUAAGUCAGUGGUGAAAUCUCCCGGCUCAACCGGGAAACUGCCAUUGAUACUGUAAGGCUAGAAUACAGACGAGGUAGGCGGAAUGUAGCAUGUAGCGGUGAAAUGCUUAGAUAUGCUACAGAACACCGAUCGCGAAGGCAGCUUACCAGACUGUAAUUGACGCUAAGGCACGAAAGCGUGGGGAGCGAACAGGAUUAGAAACCCCGGUAGUCC
Molecule: ribosomal RNA, 274 nt
Filed under: uncultured bacterium
Lineage: Bacteria
Description: partial 16S ribosomal RNA
Rfam family: Bacterial small subunit ribosomal RNA
Source: RNAcentral